Molecule: ribosomal RNA, 431 nt
Filed under: uncultured soil bacterium
Lineage: Bacteria
Description: bacterial SSU rRNA
Rfam family: Bacterial small subunit ribosomal RNA
Source: RNAcentral
AGGACGAACGCUGGCGGCGUGCCUAACACAUGCAAGUCGAACGAGGUCCAUGUAGUGGCAACACUACGGAAGGCCUAGUGGCGAACGGGUGAGUAACACGUGAGGAACUUGCCCCGGAGACCGGGAUAACUCUUCGAAAGGGGAGCUAAUACCGGAUGUUCUCACCGAGUCGCAUGGCUUGGUGAGGAAAUGGAUUCCGCUCCGGGAGAGCCUCGCGGCCUAUCAGCUAGUGGAGGGUAACGCCACAAGCAUCGACGGGUAGCUGGUCUGAGAGGACGAUCGAGCCACACGUGGACUGAGACACGGCCCAGACUCCGUACGGGAGCAGCAGGUGGGGAACUCGUUGACGCAAGUGGGACGAAAGUCCUAGGACGCAGACGAACGCCGCGUGGCGGGAUCGGACGUCCGUUACGGUUACGUAACCGUCGUUU